RNAcentral lists this small nuclear RNA (328 nucleotides) under Erinaceus europaeus (western European hedgehog). Its description in RNAcentral is "7SK RNA". It matches the Rfam family "7SK RNA". Rfam says of the family: 7SK was discovered as an abundant small nuclear RNA in the mid-70s but a possible function has only recently been suggested. Two independent studies have found that 7SK RNA binds the CDK9/cyclin T complex (known as elongation factor P-TEFb). P-TEFb activates transcription by phosphorylating the C-terminal domain of RNA polymerase II. Lineage: Eukaryota; Metazoa; Chordata; Mammalia; Eulipotyphla; Erinaceidae. The record is from Rfam by way of RNAcentral.
GGAUGUGAGGGCGAUCUGGCUGCGCCAUCUGUCACCCCACUGAUCACCAGGGCAGAUUCGGCUGAUCUGGCUGGCUAGGCGGGUGUCCCCUUCCUCCCUCACUGCUCCAUGUGCGUCCCUCCCGGAGCUGCACACUCAGUCGGUCGGUCGAAGAGGACGGCCCUCCCUGAGUAGAGACGGACCAGUCCUCCGUCGAGGGUGUACGAGUAGCUGUGCUCCCCUGCUAGAACCUCCAAACAAGCUCCCAGAUGUAUCCAUACUUUCAGCUCACAGGGGCUGGAGUUUCUAACACCCAAACUGGUGAAAGGUUAACUAUCAAGUGGUCUUU